This 274-nucleotide ribosomal RNA is filed under the name uncultured bacterium. RNAcentral's name for it is "partial 16S ribosomal RNA". It matches the Rfam family "Bacterial small subunit ribosomal RNA", at positions 523 to 796 of the family's 1533-position model. The record is from RNAcentral.
AUACGGAGGGUGCAAGCGUUGUUCGGAAUCACUGGGCGUAAAGGGCGCGCAGGCGGUUUGGUAAGUCAGAUGUGAAAGCCCAUGGCUCAACCAUGGAAGUGCAUUUGAAACUGUCAGACUUGAGUACUAGAGGGGAAAGUGGAGUUCCCGGUGUAGAGGUGAAAUUCGUAGAUAUCGGGAGGAAUACCGGUGGCGAAGGCGACUUUCUGGAUAGAUACUGACGCUGAGGCGCGAAAGCGUGGGGAGCAAACAGGAUUAGAUACCCUAGUAGUCC